GGCCGCCCCCGCUCCCAGCAGCCUUUGCAGCCGCCUACAAUGAAAUUUGCGAAGUUUUUUCGGUUUCGGCGCCAUUUUCGAGUGGACUCGGAGCAGUGUUAAGAAAAAACUGUGGAUCCUGGAAUUUUACUGUGGAUUUUACUGGUUUUCUGGAGUGCUCUCCCACUGAAGCAGUUAUCUCGUUCUCCAGAGAGGCUGUGCAGGAGCUGAUGUGCCUGUGUUCAGAGGUGAGUUGGGAAGGUAAGCUUGUGUCCUACCUGCUCCAAAAUACCUGCAGCAUCUGCAUCCCUUUGGGUAAUGCAAGUCCCUCUGACACACAUAUCCUUUCUUGGGUACUGCAGGUAAUACCAAGGAGAGGUUCAGGUUGACUCAAAUUACCCUGUUCAACUGCAAAUUUCUGAUGUAAAGUUGAGUUUCCAAAGAACAAACUAAGUUUGAAAGAAUCUGAAGUGGGAGAUGGGAUAAUUCAAACAUGGAACUUUUUAUUGCAUAAAAUAUUGAUGCUGUCAUGUCAUAAACGUGCAUAUUUUCUCAGAUACAUGUUUCACUGCCUAUCCCAAAUUUCCAGUUGCCCAAUACUUGGUGUGACUGUUGAUUUUCCCUCUGUGCUGGAGGCUGGUGGAGGUAAACCCUUGCUUGAAAAAUCCUCCUUACUGAAGAGAGCUCUUGCCCUUGUUGAACUAAAAAAGUCUGGUUUACAUCAAUAUUUUAUAUAAAUAUAAAAACAUUAAUUAAAACCUGAACCUCAAGUGCUAUCAAAAUGGAUUCUAAAGCUGACUGUGUUUGCUGUUGCUUUUUUCUUUUGGAUUCAUUUGAAGAGAUGAAAGAAAUAAGAUUGCACAGGUAUGGUCAAGUAAAACAUUGUUGCAGAAGUAAUUAAUGGUGAUAUUAUGUGGGGGGUGUUUUGAUUUAGCUGGUACAGGCUGAACACUGGGUGCAUGUUUGCUUUGCAGCAAGUAGCAGCUGCUCAUUAGGGAGUUGGCCCUGGUGCUGUCAGUGUUGAGGACACUGAAGUGAUGAAAAUAUACUUCUUUUUUGUUGGCAAAUACUUGAUUCAAAUUUGAAAUCGCUUGGCAUGGGUCAGAAGAGCUUUUGAGAUUCCUAUUUUUAAGUUUGCUAAAGAGGCAGGGACUCGGUGGCACAUUGGGCAUGAGGGGAUGGCACAAGAAUUCGAGCCCGGGGCGUCAUUUCUGACAUUGUUCAGGUUUUUUUGUGAUGCUGCUUUUUAAGAAAAUGAAUUGAAGGAAGUUGUCCCAUAAUUGGUGGGGUGGGGGAAGGUUGAAAGGAAAUACAAAAAAUAUCAGUCUGUCUGCAGGCUCCUGUGCAGCCCAGGCAGGCUGGUGUGCAAGUGCCACUGGCAGCUGCCUUUUCUGCAGGGCUGCAGCCCCUCCCUGCCCUGCUCUGGUGCUUUCUGCCCUGGUACAGGCAGGGAACGUGAUGAAGUUCCAGAGAUCCAGAUUUCUGGUCGUAUAAGGCUUUUCCAUUCACAUAAUAAAUAAGCUUAAUUUACUCUUUUUAAAAAUAAGGAUUUUUUUUUUCACCGAUCUCAAAAGUCAAAUUGAGCUGAAUGAAAGUAUUUUAAGGAAAAUUGAACAGGUUUCAACUGUUGGAAUAUGGAUUUAUUUAUCUGAAAUGUUAACAUUGUGACUUCUGGAAAAUUGUUGAUGUUCAGCAUCACCUAAGAGGAAAGUACAAGGUAAUAUUUCCCCACAGACCAGUUGGAAAGUCUGGGGAUUUCUGCAGGCUCUUCACAGUAGCAAAAGCAACAGAUCCUCUGGAUCUGAAAGUAUUGUUUGCUGGGACCCAAUAUUAAGUGUGGUUUGGGGGAACAGUUAAUUUCUGACCUUGUUUCUGAAACUGGUUUGUUUGCACUGUAUAACUGCUUGUUCUCUUAUAGUUUCAGACUGUCUGAUAGCACCUGUGAAGGAAAAAACCCUGUCCUGUGGUGGUAAUGCAUGCAUGUUAAAUGUCUUCAUUGUAGAGUGUUCUUCAGUUCUUUAUAUCAUGGUUUAAAAAAAAUUACACAUAUAUAUUCAAAAUACCAUUUGGAAUGUCAACAUUCAGUGGGCUUUGAGGAGAUGUAGCAGCACAUCAUGGUUUGUAGGGACAAGGAGAUACAGACCAUUCUGGGCUGCCUCAUUACCUCAAGGAUAAGACAAGAAAGUGAGCUUCUGGUUAUCAUAGAUGUGGAAGCUAACACAUUCCCAUGUAUCUCAUUAGCUCAGGUAUGUGUAGACACAUUCUCUUGGUGCUUGUGCUGUGCCAUCCUUCACAUCCCCUGGGAGCUCGUGUGUGCCCUGCAGGCAGGAAGGACUUGCAGCUCCUUUUUGUUCUCCAACAUGGGCAUGACCACAUGCUAUGCUAUAUCUACCCCUCAGCUAUUGCUCUUUGGGCCUUUCCCUGGCAAAGGAUCAGCCAAGGGACCCUUGCCCUGUGUUUGGGGCAGAGAGGGGGGGGGUCUGGAGGCCCUGGAGAGCUGUCAGCAGUGCUCUAGCAGCACGUAAAUACUGGAGUUUGAGAUUGCCUGUUGCUCUCCAGUAUUGCAUUGCUGCUUUAGUGAGGCUGGAAAUUGGUCCCUGCUGCAGGGCUCUGGCUCUUGGGGUCCCUCCCUGGCACCCCCACGGUGCUUCCCAUACUGCAGGGGCUCCUGGCUCCCACCCCAAUAAACCACUGCGGAGGCAGCAACAACCAGGGCUUGGUGUCGUCAAUGGGGAAGGGGAGGGGGCUGCACCCCAACACUGCUGCUGGGUACCCUGUGCCCCAGCCCAGGAGUGAAGGGGGCUGAGAGCUCUGCCUGCUGCCCAGGAGAUGGUGCUGGGCCCUUCCCUGGGCUCUGGGGACAGGGAGGACCUGGGGCUGCACAGGGGCAGUGCUGGCCCCUGGGUGCACCCUACCUGCGAACCUGGGCAGGGGGUGUGGGGGACAUUGUGGGUGCAAGGGCUGGUGGGGACCAGAGCUUCAGCUGGGUGAGAGGGAGGGAUGCUCAUUGUGCCUGGGCUGCUCAUGGGGAAGCCUUGCUACCCAAAGCAUCAUCUUUUCCCAAAUUUCUGCAGCUGUCCCAGUUUCUGUCAGGAUACCCCAGCUCAGGCAGAGCUGACAUAGGGGGGCUGCUACUGGUCAGCAGCAUCUGGCACCUGGGGGCUAUAGUGGAGAGAGUUUAGACCACCUGAGGAUUUGCCUGCAGACCCACCACUGCAGCAGUGAUUUCUGCAGAGCUGUCCUAACCCCAUGAUGAAAAGUUCUUCCUUUAGCAUUGCACCACUUGAGGCUUCCAAACCCUCCUGGAAUAGACACAAGGGCCACCACAGAGUCAGGGAUGCUCCUGAGAAGGGCUGGGGUGGUGCCUGCCUGCUCAAGAUUCAUCUGCUAUGGGGUGAAUGAACUGUCAGUCCUGACAGUGACGGUGCAUCGUUAACAGCCCAAACCCAGCAGCCUCCUGGUGCUGUGAAUUCCAGAAUGUUUGUUUUAUCAGCUGUGUUCAGGAAUUACUAAAUCACAGCCAAUAGUUGUAGGGCAGGGGAAAAUCCUGUUGCUGAUUUACACCUUCAGUCCCUGCUCCUGCUCUGUGCAGGAGGAUCACAAAUGUCGGGCAUGGGGGGUGUGAAGGAGGAUGAGCAGCUUCUGCCCUCAGAGGGGGCAAACUCAAUGUUUGGGCACAUAACCAAUGCAUUCUAAACCAGACACUGGUAUUCUUCUACUUAUAAAACGGUCCAUUCCUACUCUCAACAAGCCAAGCCAUUAAUGGCUGAGUCCCACACUGUUUUCCUUCAGGAGAAUAACUUGAUGAGUGACUUGAUUUACAGGGAAAUCAAUCAAUAAAGUUGGUAAUUAUCUGUGCAUUUA
Molecule: long non-coding RNA, 3843 nt
Organism: Serinus canaria (Common canary)
Lineage: Eukaryota; Metazoa; Chordata; Aves; Passeriformes; Fringillidae
Exons: 3
Source: RefSeq, a predicted model, not a curated record